RNAcentral lists this ribosomal RNA (460 nucleotides) under uncultured bacterium. RNAcentral's name for it is "partial 16S ribosomal RNA". It matches the Rfam family "Bacterial small subunit ribosomal RNA", at positions 338 to 795 of the family's 1533-position model. The record is from RNAcentral.
CCUACGGGAGGCAGCAGUGAGGAAUAUUGGUCAAUGGCCGUAAGGCUGAACCAGCCAAGUCGCGUGAAGGAAGAAGGAUCUAUAGUUUGUAAACUUCUUUUAUAGGGGAAUAAAGGUAUCCACGUGUGGAUCUUUGCAUGUACCCUAUGAAUAAGCAUCGGCUAACUCCGUGCCAGCAGCCGCGGUAAUACGGAGGAUGCGAGCGUUAUCCGGAUUUAUUGGGUUUAAAGGGUGCGUAGGUUGUUUUUUAAGUCAGCGGUGAAAGUUUGUGGCUCAACCAUAAAAUUGCCAUUGAAACUGGAAGACUUGAGUGUGUUUGAGGUAGGCGGAAUGCGUGGUGUAGCGGUGAAAUGCAUAGAUAUCACGCAGAACUCCGAUUGCGAAGGCAGCUUACUAAGCCAUAACUGACACUGAAGCACGAAAGCGUGGGGAUCAAACAGGAUUAGAUACCCGGGUAGUC